GACAGGAGCUGUAGUGUAUAAAUAGUAGCUGCAAGAGUGGACCCCAGUCUGAAAUCAGGAAUGAGGAUUCAGUGAGUUAAAUAAGAGGAUUAAGAGGAUACGUGGAUCAUUUCUAAGUGAUGUCCAGGCUGUCCUCAGCUUUAUUCAUCAACAUACUGGGUUACAUUGACAGAUUCAUAAAUGUCUCAGAUAAGAAAAGAUACUAAUUUUGAAUGGUAACAAAUGAAAGCAGAAAAAGAAGGGGCUGAACAUUCUCAGAUGAUCUUAAUUUGGUUUGACCUACCUAAAUUUGACUUCGACUUAUACUAAUAACACUGAUACACAACAUAAGCCUUUUUUUUUAGUAGCUUAUAAUCUAGAUGAGAAGACAAGAUUUAUCUCUGGCAAUAUCCGGAGAGAGAGCGAGAGAUUCCUAUAGAAUACAAGACAAGACUAUCACAAUGAGCUGAAAUGUUGUGUCUGUGAAAGUAAUGAGAAGCACAGUGGAGACAAGUUUCUGAAGGAUGGAAGAGGCUGGAGGCUGUCUGGUGGGAGAAGGUUCCCAGACAUGUGAGAGACCCAGCAACAGAGCUUUCUUGCUGCAACAAAAGAAAGAGGCAGAGCAGUUCCAGAUAACAACAAAGGACAAGAAACACCUUCUCUCUGAGGACAAAGACCUCCCUCAUGCACAAAAAAGAACAGUUCUUGUGGCUACAUGUCUACCUACCUCUUCACUGUAG
This 719-nucleotide long non-coding RNA is filed under the name Papio anubis (olive baboon). RNAcentral's name for it is "lncRNA (ENSPANG00000040370.1)". The record is from RNAcentral. Lineage: Eukaryota; Metazoa; Chordata; Mammalia; Primates; Cercopithecidae.